ACAGUAUGAAAUUUCAUACAGUUUCCUAACUUGAGAAAACAUGGUGAUGCAAUUCCUCCAACCAGAAGGGAUUUAUGGACAGCAGUGGCUAGGUCCUAAUCUGCCCUGAAUACAGGAUGACUACACAAAUUCGCAGAUGGACGCAGCUUUCUCUCUAAGAAAAGUCUGCUGAGAACCCUCGUUCCCGCUCUGUUUCUGCCUCCAAGAAGAAAAGCCUAAAACUCACUUUCUUCCAGACUCUUUAAAGGAAGCUGACUUAAAGAAGCUCUUAAACCAGAGGUGCAGACAAGGUGAUGUGGCUCUCAGAGGAUGGUGUGCUAUCUACAACCCUGCUGGCUUCAUGGAAGAAUGCGCUUCUCAAAUGCAAAUCCAAUCAAGUUAUCCCCUGCUUAAAUCCAAACUCUUUCAUGUGGCCCACAAAGCCUACCUUGCCUGCCAAUCUCUAACCUCACCCAAAACACACUUCCAUUGUUCUCCAGGUUCCAGUACCCUGACCUUUUGGUCUGCACUGUGCCAGGCUCCCUCCAGCCCUGAAGCCUUUGCACAUGCUAUUCCUCCUGUCUGGAACUACUCAUUCUCCAGGCUUUAGCUCAAAUGACUCUUCCCGAGAGCCUUCUCUGACCCCAGUCCAGGUCAAGUUCCUCUGUCACAUGCCUGACCCUGAAUCCCUCCUUGACAGCACUUAUAUCAGCUUGUAAUACA
Mandrillus leucophaeus (drill) is the source of this 702-nucleotide long non-coding RNA. RefSeq lists it as uncharacterized. The record is from RefSeq and is a predicted model, not a curated record. NCBI's taxonomy places the organism in Eukaryota, Metazoa, Chordata, Mammalia, Primates, Cercopithecidae. The transcript is spliced from 2 exons.